Molecule: ribosomal RNA, 253 nt
Filed under: uncultured bacterium
Lineage: Bacteria
Description: partial 16S ribosomal RNA
Rfam family: Bacterial small subunit ribosomal RNA
Source: RNAcentral
AACGUAGGAGGCGAGCGUUAUCCGGAUUCACUGGGCGUAAAGCGCGUGCAGGCGGUUCGGUAAGUUGGGCGUGAAAUCUCCUGGCUUAACUAGGAGAGGUGGUCCAAUACUACCGGGCUAGAGAGUGGUAGAGGAAGAUGGAAUUCCCGGUGUAGUGGUGAAAUGCGUAGAUAUCGGGAGGAACACAAGUGGCGAAAGCGAUCUUCUGGACCAUUUCUGACGCUCAGACGCGAAGGCUAGGGUAGUAUCCAGG